This 1177-nucleotide ribosomal RNA is filed under the name Enterobacter bugandensis. RNAcentral describes it as "partial 23S ribosomal RNA". It matches the Rfam family "Bacterial large subunit ribosomal RNA", at positions 1 to 1212 of the family's 2925-position model. The record is from RNAcentral. Lineage: Bacteria; Pseudomonadati; Pseudomonadota; Gammaproteobacteria; Enterobacterales; Enterobacteriaceae.
GGGUUGUGAGGUUAAGCGACUAAGCGUACACGGUGGAUGCCCUGGCAGUCAGAGGCGAUGAAGGACGUGCUAAUCUGCGAAAAGCGACGGCGAGGUGAUAUGAACCUUUGACCCGUCGAUGUCCGAAUGGGGAAACCCAGUGUGUUUCGACACACUAUCGUUAACUGAAUACAUAGGUUAACGAGGCGAACCGGGGGAACUGAAACAUCUAAGUACCCCGAGGAAAAGAAAUCAACCGAGAUUCCCCCAGUAGCGGCGAGCGAACGGGGAGCAGCCCGGAGUCUGAAUCAGCUUGUGUGUUAGUGGAAGCGUCUGGAAAGUCGCACGGUACAGGGUGACAGUCCCGUACACGAAAAUGCACAGGUUGUGAACUCGAAGAGUAGGGCGGGACACGUGGUAUCCUGUCUGAAUAUGGGGGGACCAUCCUCCAAGGCUAAAUACUCCUGACUGACCGAUAGUGAACCAGUACCGUGAGGGAAAGGCGAAAAGAACCCCGGCGAGGGGAGUGAAAAAGAACCUGAAACCGUGUACGUACAAGCAGUGGGAGCACCUUCGUGGUGUGACUGCGUACCUUUUGUAUAAUGGGUCAGCGACUUAUAUUCUGUAGCAAGGUUAACCGUAUAGGGGAGCCGCAGGGAAACCGAGUCUUAACUGGGCGUUAAGUUGCAGGGUAUAGACCCGAAACCCGGUGAUCUAGCCAUGGGCAGGUUGAAGGUUGGGUAACACUAACUGGAGGACCGAACCGACUAAUGUUGAAAAAUUAGCGGAUGACCUGUGGCUGGGGGUGAAAGGCCAAUCAAACCGGGAGAUAGCUGGUUCUCCCCGAAAGCUAUUUAGGUAGCGCCUCGUGAACUCAUCUUCGGGGGUAGAGCACUGUUUCGGCUAGGGGGCCAUCCCGGCUUACCAACCCGAUGCAAACUACGAAUACCGAAGAAUGUUAUCACGGGAGACACACGGCGGGUGCUAACGUCCGUCGUGAAGAGGGAAACAACCCAGACCGCCAGCUAAGGUCCCAAAGUCAUGGUUAAGUGGGAAACGAUGUGGGAAGGCACAGACAGCCAGGAUGUUGGCUUAGAAGCAGCCAUCAUUUAAAGAAAGCGUAAUAGCUCACUGGUCGAGUCGGCCUGCGCGGAAGAUGUAACGGGGCUAAACCAUGCACCGAAGCUGCGGCAGCGAC